UCUCUCUUUCUCGCUCCGCCUCUCCGUGCUACGUCAUGUAAUGUACACUAUAGUGGAUCGAUAUGACAAUGAAAGAGAGACUUGGAGCAAGUCUAGUCCUCUAACGUCCCAACGAAGGGCCUACAGGGCCGUACUGGCUAGGGACGAGAACUUUUUGUGGGCCCCUGCCAUCAUGGGCCCCUGAAAUUAAAACAUUGAAAAAGAUAAAAAAUAUAGAUUCUAAUUUUAUAAAUCAAGAUUAAGAUAUUACAAUUGAUAUUUUAAAAACCUAAAUCCACGAAAAUAUCACCGAAAAAUUUAACAAAGUACGGUACAUUAAUUCGAAAGUUACUGAAAAAUGGUAUAUGUCCGGAAAUUGUUUUGGGGGAAAAAGAUUAAUCGGCGACUGAAAUGUUUCAUGUUUGAUCAAUAAUACCCCCACCCCAAUCUUGAUCUAUCCGUCACUGGGCGUGGCCCCCAUCAGACGUUGCUCAAUCGUCGUCCUUUUCAAGAUCCCAGCAAGUUCCUGGGGCCUUCGCACGAAACGUCGAAGUUCUCCUUGCAUCAGUUUUCAGAUAGUUGCAUUCCUAUGAAUCUGAAGCUUUCUUAUUAUUGGCACCACCUAUACACUGGCACAGACAGUUCAAGAUUAUUUCUUGUAAACACACUCAGGAUGUUAGCUAGCCCAUAUACCACUCUUCCCAAUUGAAGUAGCUAAGGGGCUUUCCCAAUUGGGUCUACUGGAAGAUUUUCAUUUUUUCUGAUGAGAAAGUGCAUUGCGUUUGAUUUUAUAUUAUUAUAUCAAAGAACGUUUCAUUUACUUUUCCCAUUAACUAUUUUCUCAAAAUGCAUCAUCAAAAUGUACAAAACAAAGUGUAAUCGGUGUGCAUCCGUGUUCAUUCACCGGGAAUGAAAUAUACAAAACGAAGUGCCAUCGGGUGUAUUUUUCAGUGUUCAUUCAGCGGAAAUGAAAUGUACAAAUUAGCUACCGUUGUUUGCAUCAAAGGAGAAACACGUUGGAAAAAGCACUAUUUAUUCCUACACAAGGACUUUUAUCGGUCAAAAAAACUUUCCCAAUUUACG
Non-coding RNA from Paramuricea clavata, 1062 nucleotides. The record is from the annotation of a GenBank genome assembly. NCBI's taxonomy places the organism in Eukaryota, Metazoa, Cnidaria, Anthozoa, Malacalcyonacea, Plexauridae.